AAGAGACCGGCGCCUGGACGACUUUCAGGGGAGAGCUGGAAGAAAGACUGUCAACAGCUGAGUGCGGGCGCCGGCGCCGUCUACGCAGUGCGUUCCACCGGGUCCGUAUCCCUCCCGAUUCCGCCCCACCCCGCCCUCGGAACUCGCUGCCUCAACUCCUGCGGUGGGACUCCGGAGCAGCGUACACCGCCCUUGCCUUAGUCCUCCCCAAGGCCAGGGCAGCUGUGCGGCCUGGCGCGGGUUACUUGGUGUGGUGCAAAAAGCCAGAAGGAGACACAUUUGGUCCUGGCCACCCCGGAGUCACCCAAACCAAAAGGAUAAUGAAUUGGAAAAGAUCACAAGGAGGUUCACCAUGGAGCUAGCAAAGAAGGGCUUUAUUGUGUGGCCACAUAGAUUUUGGUAUAAAGUGGGAACAUCUAAAAAAAUCUUUUUUUUUUUUUUUUGAGACAGAGUCUUGCUCUGUCGCCAAGAUUGGAGUGUAGUGGUGCGAUCUCCUCCACCUCCCGGGUUCAAGCAAUUCUCUUGUCUAAGCCUCCCGAGUAGCUGAGACUAUAGGCAUGUGCCACCAUGCCCAGCUAAUUUUCGUAUUUUUAUAGAGAUGGGGUUUUGCCAUGUUGAUCAGGCUGGUCUUGAACUCUUGACCUCAGGUGAUCCACCCAUCUCAGAAUCCCAAAGUGCUGGGAUUACAGGCGUGAGCCACUAUGCCCGGCCUCCUACUAUUUGUAAUAGGAGAUAGGGUCAGAUAAGGGAAUAAAAGCAGGCUGCCCCAGCCAGGGGCAGCAACCAGCUCAGGUCCCCUUCCACACUGUGGAGGCUUUGUUUUUUUGCGCUUUGCAAUAAAUCUUGCUGCUGCUCACUCUUUGGGUCCGCACUGCCUUUAUGAGCUCUAACACUCAUCGCGAAGGUCUGCAGCUUCAUUCUUGAAGUCAGUGAGACGAAGAAC
This 943-nucleotide long non-coding RNA is filed under the name Homo sapiens (human). RNAcentral's name for it is "PREDICTED lncRNA (TCONS_00027440)". Lineage: Eukaryota; Metazoa; Chordata; Mammalia; Primates; Hominidae. The record is from RNAcentral.